AUCAAUUACAUAUGGGUUCCAAACUGAAGGAAUGUUAUGGUAAAACUUCGUUUAAAACGAUGUGGUAGAAAGCAACGUGCGACUUGAAGGACAUGAUCCGCUGUGGAGUCUUACAUCCACCAUUUUUAUAUAUAUUAUAUAGGAAUAUAUAGGAAUGAAAGUGCUCUUGGCUCGACAUCAUUUGUUCUAUUCCGCUGUAACCCCCUUUUUUUUGGGGGGGGUGGUAUAAUAUAGUAUAGGAUGGAGCUCGAGUAGAAAGUAUUUUUUUCUUUUUCAGGGGCAAGAAUCUAGGGUUAGUAUCAAUCAACAAAUUGGAACAACUUCGUAAGUAUAUUUUCGAUACAUAAACUUAAAGGGGCCCAUUCGAGAAAAUUUCCAAUUCCAAGGGAAGGUUUGAAAUUGGUAAAACUUUUUCGAUCAAAUCAAAAGGAAAGUGUAUUACGCAGGAAUCCAACAUUUGUAUGAUUCUUUGACAGAAGGAAAUCGCAAAAAAUGGUAUGUUGCUGCCGUUUUGAAAGGAUUUAAAGAUCACCGAAGUAAUGUACUAAACCCAAUGAUUCAAGGCAAAGAUCCUGGAACAAGGAAAUACCUUUUUCAAUUGUCUUAACAACUAGAUCAGAAUGAAGAAUCAAAAUGGAUUCUAAAGAAGACAAUUAAAGGGUUAGAGACCGCUCAAUAGAUGAAAUAUCUAAAAGGUUGUUCUUUUGAGUUAUUUCAGAGUUAUCCAACUUGAGUUAUGAGGGUGCAAAUACGACUAAUUUUCUUUUUGUUGGAUAAGAAUAAGAAAAUAAAGUAAAAUCAAUAGUCUAAUUAAUUUGAUGAUUUUAUGGAUAUAUUUGAUAUUGUAAUUUUAUACAUAGACAUAAUUUCGAAUUUUCUCGAGCCGUACGAGGGAAAAACCUCUUAUACGUUUCUAGGGGGGGUAUUGUUCAUCUAUCCCAAUGAGCCAUUUAUCGAAUAGUUGCAAUUGAUGUUCGAGCUCGACGAGAGGGAAGAGAUCUUCGG
RNAcentral lists this long non-coding RNA (1005 nucleotides) under Fragaria vesca (wild strawberry). RNAcentral describes it as "long non-coding RNA (FVES_LNC004388)". The record is from RNAcentral. Lineage: Eukaryota; Viridiplantae; Streptophyta; Magnoliopsida; Rosales; Rosaceae.